GAGUGUUACAGCUCUUUUAGAAUUUGUCUAGCAGGCUUUCCGGUGUUUGCCAGAAAGCAUCC
RNAcentral lists this small nuclear RNA (62 nucleotides) under Aotus nancymaae (Ma's night monkey). RNAcentral's name for it is "U7 small nuclear RNA (ENSANAG00000006265.1)". It matches the Rfam family "U7 small nuclear RNA". Rfam says of the family: Animal histone pre-mRNAs are spliced by a different mechanism than nuclear pre-mRNAs and self-splicing introns. This processing involves the U7 snRNP, which contains only one RNA species: U7. The 5' end of U7 RNA is thought to base-pair to a conserved spacer element downstream of the cleavage site in histone pre-mRNA. The record is from Rfam by way of RNAcentral. Lineage: Eukaryota; Metazoa; Chordata; Mammalia; Primates; Aotidae.